GAAAGAAGAAGAAGAUGAAGAAGAA
This 25-nucleotide small RNA is filed under the name Arabidopsis thaliana (thale cress). Its description in RNAcentral is "ATSL125970". Lineage: Eukaryota; Viridiplantae; Streptophyta; Magnoliopsida; Brassicales; Brassicaceae. The record is from RNAcentral.